Molecule: transfer RNA, 86 nt
Filed under: Colletotrichum orbiculare MAFF 240422
Lineage: Eukaryota; Fungi; Ascomycota; Sordariomycetes; Glomerellales; Glomerellaceae
Description: tRNA-Gly for anticodon CCC
Rfam family: tRNA
About the family: Transfer RNA (tRNA) molecules are approximately 80 nucleotides in length. Their secondary structure includes four short double-helical elements and three loops (D, anti-codon, and T loops).
Source: Rfam by way of RNAcentral
GCAUUCGUGGUGCAGUGGUUUAGCAUUCCGGCCUCCCAGCAUAGCCUAGAGAGCCGGAGACCUGGGUUCGAAUCCCGGUGGAUGCA